Long non-coding RNA from Canis lupus familiaris (dog), 2503 nucleotides. RefSeq lists it as uncharacterized. The record is from RefSeq and is a predicted model, not a curated record. NCBI's taxonomy places the organism in Eukaryota, Metazoa, Chordata, Mammalia, Carnivora, Canidae. The transcript is spliced from 3 exons.
GCCUCCCCAGCCCUGGCCACCCACGUGAUGCUAUGAUUGUCCCCUUCCCCAUCACGUCUCUUUCUGAGCUGAAUUUGCAGACUUGUAUCCACUCUGGUUUUCUUCUCCAAGGCUACAGUCCUAUAAGGAUCUCCACCAAGUUUAUGUCUGAGUUUUGAUAAUAACCCAUGCAGCACUGUAGUUGGAGACACGAGGCCUUGACCAUCAGCAUCCCAAGUAACCAUGAUACAAAAGGAAGAUGGAAUCCUCCCUUCUAUGGCUCCUUAUGUAACGGUUGGAGAUUACCACAGAGGCACAGAAAAAGUCUAAUCAGCUGUUAGAGCCUUAAUUACAUUCCUCUUGGUCGAAAUCCCCAAAUUACCUAAUUGUCACUCAGUUCACAUUUGAGCGGUUGAUUUUUUUCUCCCCCUGAUCUAUUAUUAUUCUAAUCGCCUUUUGGAUGUGGGGUGUUGGUAGCAGUGUAAGGGCUGACUACAGUUCUGCUGUUAGAGCCUUUCCCAUGGAGGAGUCCAGGGUCCUUAGAAGAAUUAGCUAUUAGGUAAACUGAGGAAGGAAAACUGCCAUACAUGAAAGAGACCUGUGAGACCACCACCUCUGGCUGUUCUCUCUCCUUCUCAGGAGUCCCAGCUGCCCAGGAUAUGGCUCUUUUCUGUCUUUCCGAUUGAUCCAUGGAAUAUUCCCUCAACAGAGCAAACUGCUCCUGUCUGUCCUCGUAUUUACUGAAGCAAAUAUGAUGGCAGCCUUGGGAACAAGACAGGCAGUGACAAUGGCCCCAGGCUCUCAAGUCACAGUCACUGUUUGAUCUUGGGCAAGCCACAAGCCACGUAAGCUCCCCAUUUCUCAACUGGUCAGUUGAGGGUGAUGAUGGGCUCUUCCUUACAGGGCUGUCAGAGUGAGAUGAAAAAAGGCAUCAAGAAAUGCAGUUCUUGUAGUUAUUAAUUAUUUAAUAAUCAUCACUGCUGCCCAGGGAAGGCCGACAGAUACAUCCCAAGAGCAUGUGCAAAAAGUUAAUUAGUAAUUAUAAGCUAGCUCUGUUUUAUGUUUUGCUGAAUUUUCAAGUUUCUAAUGUUGUAUCAUUCCGAUGUAGAGCCAAAGAAGACAAAGAAAAUGCGAUUAACUGUUGAGCUAAUUAUCAGGUCACAUCACUUCUAAGAGCACACACAAAAAAGUAAACCAAAGAAAUAGAACUUCUAUCCCUCUCUCGGGACCUGGGAACACAGGGACUCUGGAGGAUGAGGUAUUUUAAGUGAACUGCUGAAGAAAAUGGUGGCCCAUCAUUCCAGAGACUUUCAUUUUUAAAUUUGUGGUCGAACAAGCUUGGAGCUCUUCUUCCGUUGGCUGAACCUCAAGAGAAGAAUGAAAGCAAAUAUGCAGGUUGUUUAUGGAAAUAGCAGCGAUCAAAACUCAUCUCCAUGAAUUACCAGAUCAGUGCUGGAUUCUAAGACAGUUGAUGCUGCUAUCCAUAAAGAUAUUAGAUUAUCUCGAGAGCAGUUAUUAUGGGAGGAAAAAAAAAAGCAACUGCUCUAAUGUGAGCUGUGUAACAAUUAGGCAAUUCUGAAAUUUCAACUGAGAGGAAUUUAAUUAAGGCUCUAAUAGCUGAUUAAACUUAUUUUAGAUCUGCUGGCAAUUGCCACUGGUUACAUAAGUAACCCGAGAAGAAAGAUUUCCGUCUUUUACUUUCCCCGGAUUUAAUCCUGCUGGUGGCCAGAGGUAUGAUCCUUUUGGUGCUUCCCAAAAUAUGAUCCUCAGACCACCUAAAGCAGAACGCCCUAGGAUCCUGGUUGAAAAGUCAGACUCUCAGGCCUCAUCCCAGACCUACUGAUGCAGGCACUCUAAAGAUCUAGGUCUGCAUUCUGAAUCAGCCCCCCAGGAAAGGGUCUUAUUCACACCAAAGUUUCAUGAUACCACCACCUUGGAUAAUGGCAUUUAAACCCAGGCAUUCAAAAGAAGGGGACACUACCAAAAAAAACGAGACAUUGUACCUCAUUACUGAAAAGCAGCUCUUGGUUUGACUCUGCCAGUUGGCCCCAUCUGAGGCCCUGUGGCAUCAAAGACAAAAUGGUUUGGCCCCACUGCUCUUCAGUGGUUUCUUUGCAGAAGCUUGUUCACAUACACCAUGCAGGAGAAAGCGGAUUCCGGUGUGACUUCUGGUUUCAGAAGACCCUAGCCACCUUGGAUGAACUUUAGGUCGGAUCUUGGUUUAAAACAAAAAUCUUUGGGCUCAACUGCAAAGUGCUCCAGUUCUUUUUAACAGAAUCGCUUUUCUCCAUCAGAGGUCAAUUAUUUUUCUUUGUCCUCAAGACUUCAGUAUAUUUGCCGAAAAUGCUCAAAGGUUUAUCACCAAAAUCCAGUUUAUUUUGAAGAUGAUGCUAUUGAAGCAGAAAGACAGCAAGCAAUACACCUGACCCUUGAACAGAGGGGUUAGGGGCGCCUACCCUACCCCCUACGCCAUGCAGUUGAAAAUCCAAGUAUAACUUUUGAUUCCCCCAAAAACUUCACAACU